UACGGAGGAUUCAAGCGUUAUCCGGAUUUAUUGGGUUUAAAGGGUGCGUAGGCGGUUUGAUAAGUUAGAGGUGAAAUGUUAGGGCUUAACCCUGAAACUGCCUCUAAUACUGUUGAGCUAGAGAGUAGUUGCGGUAGGCGGAAUGUAUGGUGUAGCGGUGAAAUGCGUAGAUAUUAGGAGGAACACCAGUGGCGAAGGCGGAUUGCUGGACAGAGACUGACGUUGAGGCUCGAAAGCGUGGGGAGCAAACAGG
This 253-nucleotide ribosomal RNA is filed under the name uncultured Rikenellaceae bacterium. RNAcentral describes it as "partial 16S ribosomal RNA". It matches the Rfam family "Bacterial small subunit ribosomal RNA", at positions 524 to 776 of the family's 1533-position model. The record is from RNAcentral. Lineage: Bacteria; Pseudomonadati; Bacteroidota; Bacteroidia; Bacteroidales; Rikenellaceae.